GAUGAACGCUGGCGGCGUGCCUAAUACAUGCAAGUCGAGCGAACAGAUGAGGAGCUUGCUCCUCUGACGUUAGCGGCGGACGGGUGAGUAACACGUGGAUAACCUACCUAUAAGACUGGGAUAACUUCGGGAAACCGGAGCUAAUACCGGAUAAUAUAUUGAACCGCAUGGUUCAAUAGUGAAAGACGGUUUUGCUGUCACUUAUAGAUGGAUCCGCGCCGCAUUAGCUAGUUGGUAAGGUAACGGCUUACCAAGGCAACGAUGCGUAGCCGACCUGAGAGGGUGAUCGGCCACACUGGAACUGGGACACGGUCCAGACUCCAACGGGAGGCAGCAGUAGGGAAUCUUCCGCAAUGGGCGAAAGCCUGACGGAGCAACGCCGCGUGAGUGAUGAAGGUCUUCGGAUCGUAAAACUCUGUUAUUAGGGAAGAACAAAUGUGUAAGUAACUAUGCACGUCUGGACGGUACCUAAUCAGAAGACCACGGCUAACUACGU
This 496-nucleotide ribosomal RNA is filed under the name uncultured bacterium. Its description in RNAcentral is "partial 16S ribosomal RNA". It matches the Rfam family "Bacterial small subunit ribosomal RNA", at positions 28 to 506 of the family's 1533-position model. The record is from RNAcentral.